This 2902-nucleotide ribosomal RNA is filed under the name Klebsiella pneumoniae. RNAcentral describes it as "23S ribosomal RNA". It matches the Rfam family "Bacterial large subunit ribosomal RNA". Lineage: Bacteria; Pseudomonadati; Pseudomonadota; Gammaproteobacteria; Enterobacterales; Enterobacteriaceae. The record is from RNAcentral.
GGUUAAGCGACUAAGCGUACACGGUGGAUGCCCUGGCAGUCAGAGGCGAUGAAGGACGUGCUAAUCUGCGAAAAGCGUCGGUAAGGUGAUAUGAACCGUUAUAACCGGCGAUGUCCGAAUGGGGAAACCCAGUGCAAUUCGUUGCACUAUCGUUAACUGAAUACAUAGGUUAACGAGGCGAACCGGGGGAACUGAAACAUCUAAGUACCCCGAGGAAAAGAAAUCAACCGAGAUUCCCCCAGUAGCGGCGAGCGAACGGGGAGCAGCCCAGAGUCUGAAUCAGCUUGUGUGUUAGUGGAACGGUCUGGAAAGUCCGACGGUACAGGGUGAUAGUCCCGUACACCAAAAUGCACAGGUUGUGAACUCGAAGAGUAGGGCGGGACACGUGGUAUCCUGUCUGAAUAUGGGGGGACCAUCCUCCAAGGCUAAAUACUCCUGACUGACCGAUAGUGAACCAGUACCGUGAGGGAAAGGCGAAAAGAACCCCGGCGAGGGGAGUGAAAAAGAACCUGAAACCGUGUACGUACAAGCAGUGGGAGCACCUUCGGGUGUGACUGCGUACCUUUUGUAUAAUGGGUCAGCGACUUAUAUUCUGUAGCAAGGUUAACCGUAUAGGGGAGCCGCAGGGAAACCGAGUCUUAACUGGGCGUUAAGUUGCAGGGUAUAGACCCGAAACCCGGUGAUCUAGCCAUGGGCAGGUUGAAGGUUGGGUAACACUAACUGGAGGACCGAACCGACUAAUGUUGAAAAAUUAGCGGAUGACUUGUGGCUGGGGGUGAAAGGCCAAUCAAACCGGGAGAUAGCUGGUUCUCCCCGAAAGCUAUUUAGGUAGCGCCUCGUGAACUCAUCUUCGGGGGUAGAGCACUGUUUCGGCUAGGGGGUCAUCCCGACUUACCAACCCGAUGCAAACUACGAAUACCGAAGAAUGUUAUCACGGGAGACACACGGCGGGUGCUAACGUCCGUCGUGAAGAGGGAAACAACCCAGACCGCCAGCUAAGGUCCCAAAGUCAUGGUUAAGUGGGAAACGAUGUGGGAAGGCACAGACAGCCAGGAUGUUGGCUUAGAAGCAGCCAUCAUUUAAAGAAAGCGUAAUAGCUCACUGGUCGAGUCGGCCUGCGCGGAAGAUGUAACGGGGCUAAACCAUGCACCGAAGCUGCGGCAGCGACACUAUGUGUUGUUGGGUAGGGGAGCGUUCUGUAAGCCUGCGAAGGUGACCUGUGAGGGUUGCUGGAGGUAUCAGAAGUGCGAAUGCUGACAUAAGUAACGAUAAAGCGGGUGAAAAGCCCGCUCGCCGGAAGACCAAGGGUUCCUGUCCAACGUUAAUCGGGGCAGGGUGAGUCGACCCCUAAGGCGAGGCCGAAAGGCGUAGUCGAUGGGAAACAGGUUAAUAUUCCUGUACUUGGUGUUACUGCGAAGGGGGGACGGAGAAGGCUAUGUUAGCCGGGCGACGGUUGUCCCGGUUUAAGCAUGUAGGCUGGUUGUCCAGGCAAAUCCGGAUAAUCAAGGCUGAGGUGUGAUGACGAGGCACUACGGUGCUGAAGUAACAAAUGCCCUGCUUCCAGGAAAAGCCUCUAAGCAUCAGGUAACAUUAAAUCGUACCCCAAACCGACACAGGUGGUCAGGUAGAGAAUACCAAGGCGCUUGAGAGAACUCGGGUGAAGGAACUAGGCAAAAUGGUGCCGUAACUUCGGGAGAAGGCACGCUGGUGUGUAGGUGAAGCCCCUGCGGGUGGAGCUGAGACCAGUCGAAGAUACCAGCUGGCUGCAACUGUUUAUUAAAAACACAGCACUGUGCAAACACGAAAGUGGACGUAUACGGUGUGACGCCUGCCCGGUGCCGGAAGGUUAAUUGAUGGGGUUAUCCGUAAGGAGAAGCUCUUGAUCGAAGCCCCGGUAAACGGCGGCCGUAACUAUAACGGUCCUAAGGUAGCGAAAUUCCUUGUCGGGUAAGUUCCGACCUGCACGAAUGGCGUAAUGAUGGCCAGGCUGUCUCCACCCGAGACUCAGUGAAAUUGAACUCGCUGUGAAGAUGCAGUGUACCCGCGGCAAGACGGAAAGACCCCGUGAACCUUUACUAUAGCUUGACACUGAACAUUGAGCCUUGAUGUGUAGGAUAGGUGGGAGGCUUUGAAGCGUGGACGCCAGUCUGCGUGGAGCCAACCUUGAAAUACCACCCUUUAAUGUUUGAUGUUCUAACGUUGGCCCCUUACCGGGGUUGCGGACAGUGUCUGGUGGGUAGUUUGACUGGGGCGGUCUCCUCCCAAAGCGUAACGGAGGAGCACGAAGGUUAGCUAAUCCUGGUCGGACAUCAGGAGGUUAGUGCAAUGGCAUAAGCUAGCUUGACUGCGAGCGUGACGGCGCGAGCAGGUGCGAAAGCAGGUCAUAGUGAUCCGGUGGUUCUGAAUGGAAGGGCCAUCGCUCAACGGAUAAAAGGUACUCCGGGGAUAACAGGCUGAUACCGCCCAAGAGUUCAUAUCGACGGCGGUGUUUGGCACCUCGAUGUCGGCUCAUCACAUCCUGGGGCUGAAGUAGGUCCCAAGGGUAUGGCUGUUCGCCAUUUAAAGUGGUACGCGAGCUGGGUUUAGAACGUCGUGAGACAGUUCGGUCCCUAUCUGCCGUGGGCGCUGGAGAAUUGAGGGGGGCUGCUCCUAGUACGAGAGGACCGGAGUGGACGCAUCACUGGUGUUCGGGUUGUCAUGCCAAUGGCACUGCCCGGUAGCUAAAUGCGGAAGAGAUAAGUGCUGAAAGCAUCUAAGCACGAAACUUGCCCCGAGAUGAGUUCUCCCUGAGACUUUAAGUCUCCUGAAGGAACGUUGAAGACGACGACGUUGAUAGGCCGGGUGUGUAAGCGCAGCGAUGCGUUGAGCUAACCGGUACUAAUGAACCGUGAGGCUUAACCUU